This 497-nucleotide ribosomal RNA is filed under the name uncultured bacterium. RNAcentral describes it as "partial 16S ribosomal RNA". It matches the Rfam family "Bacterial small subunit ribosomal RNA", at positions 28 to 507 of the family's 1533-position model. The record is from RNAcentral.
GACGAACGCUGGCGGCGUGCCUAAUACAUGCAAGUCGAACGCUGAAGAGAGGAGCUUGCUCUUCUUGGAUGAGUUGCGAACGGGUGAGUAACGCGUAGGUAACCUGCCUUGUAGCGGGGGAUAACUAUUGGAAACGAUAGCUAAUACCGCAUAACAAUGGAUGACACAUGUCAUUUAUUUGAAAGGGGCAAUUGCUCCACUACAAGAUGGACCUGCGUUGUAUUAGCUAGUAGGUGAGGUAAUGGCUCACCUAGGCGACGAUACAUAGCCGACCUGAGAGGGUGAUCGGCCACACUGGGACUGAGACACGGCCCAGACGCCUACGGGAGGCAGCAGGAGGGAAACUUCGGCAAGGGGGGCAACCCUGACCGAGCAACGCCGCGUGAGUGAAGAAGGUUUUCGGAUCGUAAAGCUCUGUUGUAAGUCAAGAACGGGUGUGAGAGUGGAAAGUUCACACUGUGACGGUAGCUGACCAGAAAGGGACGGCUAACUACGUG